RNAcentral lists this unclassified non-coding RNA (583 nucleotides) under Hevea brasiliensis (rubber tree). Lineage: Eukaryota; Viridiplantae; Streptophyta; Magnoliopsida; Malpighiales; Euphorbiaceae. The record is from RNAcentral.
GUUGGCUGUUAGCUCAUUGUGAACAUAACUCUAAAAUCUCCUUGGAGAGUUGUGGCACUCAAACAUCAUAUUUUCUGGUCAUUACCAACAAACUAGCUCUGGAAUCAGAUUUAGCAUGCUCUGGACACCAUCAGCACAGGUACUUGAAAACGAAAAUUCAAAAUUUCACAAUAUCCUAUGUGAAAGCAACCAACAAUAUAGAUAUGGAGCCAAGGAGAAUAUUUGAAUUAAGUUCAAAUCAUAUUCUUGUAAGAAACUUAGGUAUUGAAUUGUAUGCUCUCCAAAUAUAUACCAAGCAGAUAUUGCAAUGAUCAAAUUGACAUAAAUCAAGCCAAAAUGAGAAGAAAUGGUAUCUGGAUUGCUCUAUGCAUUUGCAACAAAGCUUAUUUUAGCAGAAAAAGGCCAAAUUAAACAGAACUGUAACUCCUUUGACUUUUAACAAUCAAUUCCAAAAGAUAAUGCAAAUGAAUUAUAAUUAAGAAAGCAGAUGCAUUUUGCACUUACAGGAAAUAAGGAAUUUCUAAUAGUAAAAGCAUUUACCAUAACAACAUUUCCAUUCUUCUAAUUCCAAAUUGAAUCAAAU